This 371-nucleotide long non-coding RNA is filed under the name Carica papaya (papaya). RNAcentral's name for it is "long non-coding RNA (CPAP_LNC009578)". Lineage: Eukaryota; Viridiplantae; Streptophyta; Magnoliopsida; Brassicales; Caricaceae. The record is from RNAcentral.
CCGCGUAAAUCAGGAUUCCUGCAGGUUCCGUUCCAAACAAGCAAGCAGUUCCAGAUUCCUUUUGUUUCCUAAACUGGAUCAUCUCAAAGAGGAAAAUAUCUACAUCCCUAACCACUUCCGUAAUUGGGGUUAUUAUAAAGAAUGGGCCAAGUUUGUCCAAGGAAGACUUAAGGCCUAAGAGACACUUCAUGUGCUUGGGAUCUUAAGGUGAAGAGGAAGGCCAGCUUUUGGUCCAACCCGAGAGAGAUCAAGGCCUCACGGCUAAGGAGGGCCAUGGCCCAAGAAAAGGACCAAGCAAGGCCGUUUGGUCUUGGAGAGUGGCGGACAGCUUGUGUCGCGCAUGUCAACCUUCUUGUUCAAAUGUGCAGGCG